This 465-nucleotide ribosomal RNA is filed under the name uncultured bacterium. Its description in RNAcentral is "partial 16S ribosomal RNA". It matches the Rfam family "Bacterial small subunit ribosomal RNA", at positions 338 to 795 of the family's 1533-position model. The record is from RNAcentral.
CCUACGGGAGGCAGCAGUAGGGAAUCUUCCACAAUGGGCGAAAGCCUGAUGGAGCAACGCCGCGUGGGUGAAGAAGGUCUUCGGAUCGUAAAACCCUGUUGUUAGAGAAGAAAGUGCGUGAGUGUAACUGUUAACGUUUCGCCGGUAUCUAACCAGAAAGCCACGUCUAACUACGUGCCAGCAGCCGCGGUAAUACGUAGGUGGCAAGCGUUAUCCGGAUUUAUUGGGCGUAAAGGGAACGCAGGCGGUCUUUUAAGUCUGAUGUGAAAGUCUUCAGCUUAACCGGAGUAGUGCAUUGGAAACUGGGAGACUUGAGUGCAGAAGAGGAGAGUGGAACGCCAUGUGUAGCGGUGAAAUGCGUAGAUAUAUGGAAGAACACCAGUGGCGAAAGCGGCUCUCUGGUCUGUAACUGACGCUGAGGUUCGAAAGCGUGGGUAGCAAACAGGAUUAGAUACCCGGGUAGUC